UGGUUUAGGCGCUCAAACUUUUUCUUUUCAGCCGACAUAUUUUCUUUCCCCCUUUUUCAUCAGCCAUCACACAUUCACAAACCCUAAAACUCAUCUAAUGCAUCGGUGGCGAUAUCAUCUUAUAAUCCGAUUCAGUGCCUAUCAAAAGCUUUUCAUUUCACAAUUAUGUUGAAUCUAUCUAUCGAUCUCACACUGUCUCUUGAAAAAACUAACCAGUUCUCUUCCCACAAUCGGUAUUAUUACGUGUUCCUGCAAAGAAGGUUUCAAUCUUUCAUCGCAAACCCUAAUCGCAAAGAGUUCACUUAAUUGGACACUCAGCAAUAUGAAAUGCAAUUUUCUACAGAUCCACAUGAAGCUGGUUAGCAAAAGCGAGAAGGAGAGGAUGAAGAAGCUAGAGGAGGUGAGCAAGAGCAUCGAAACCAUACAAUAAGUUAAUGAUGGGUUUAUUAAUCAGAUAAUUAGAUUUUGACCCCUAAUCGACUAAUUGGAUCGGUAAGUUAUGAUAACCCUCGAACUCUUAAUUGCAUCUAUAUUCUCACACUUUUUUGUUUCCGGGAGGUUACACCGCAUCUUCAAUUUGGAUCAUGAUUUUUGAUACACAAGGUAUGAUUCGUAUUACACAGAUCACAGUAAUUGUUCUCCGGAUUCCAUCUCUUUUACAAGAUUCAAUCUUUGGUUGAUGGAAAGUUUUGAUCUUUCGUUUAUUCGAAGUGGUAAUUGGUGUAUGAUGAAGUUACAUGUCCAGGGUUUUGUGUAGAUUAUUAGGCUCCGUUUUGUUGUUUUCAGUUUUGUAUAUUUUAAGAGGUUGUUGAUGGUUAAUUAGAGGCAAUUAAAAGAGGAUCUUUUUGGGGGAAUUUGUGGUUUAUGUGCCAAAAUAAAGUAUGGUUGUUGGCACUGGCUUUUCGACUUCAUGUGUAAUAGUGGAAGAUGGUUUUAGUUAUGGUGUUUCUUUUGGGAUUGAAGAGAAGUCACAUAAUUCAGAACAAUAUCAGUUAUUCACCAUAGUAUAAGCACUACAAUGCUGAUGAAAUGAACAACGAGUGGAAGCUUUUAUAAAGGAAGUUAAUGAGGAUAUGAGAUUAUAUUAACAAGAACUUUGAAUCAAUACAUGGAGACGGAUCAAUGCGGUCCAUUAAGUGAACGGCCAAAGUGCUUUGUGUCCAGUUCAUUGUUUUCUGACAGGUAGUAUAGUGGAUAAUGUUCCAAAAGAAGUAGUACUUUCCUAUUUUCUUUUUCAAUUUUGAUUUCCUGUUGUUAUUUAUUCCGAAUUAACCAGUUUCUGUUUAGAUAUAUUCUUCAGACUUGUGCAGUUGUGCCCAUGUUAUCAAAUCAUAUAUGAGGACCUUUAUCAUGCACACCAAGUGUUUGAGGAUAUGUUAAGGAGAGGAUAUUAUCCGGAUGUUGUAACUUGCACAAUGUCACACCCCGACCACGUAAAACAACAAAACAUGGCGGAAUCGUCGGGGAGUGUUGUAACAGAAUCAUUGUUUCAUAACACAUGGAAAAUUGAAAUUUUGUUUUAUUGGAUUAAAUGUAUUACAAUGUCUUAACAAAGAAAAUAUAACAGAUGCCACGUGGCAUCUAAUUGCUUCUCCAAUUCUU
This is a long non-coding RNA of Helianthus annuus (common sunflower), 1602 nucleotides long. RefSeq lists it as uncharacterized. The record is from RefSeq and is a predicted model, not a curated record. Lineage: Eukaryota; Viridiplantae; Streptophyta; Magnoliopsida; Asterales; Asteraceae. The transcript is spliced from 3 exons.